GUGAUCUCUAAGGGAUAGUGAUAAGCGGUGGAAACGCAUGAGGGAAAUUUGAAGAAAGGAGAAGCUGGAAGAGGAUCACUCUGUUGUGCUCGCUGGUAUAACCCUGGGCCAGUGCAGUUUUCUGCUGAUAGGAGCACCGGCCCCAGGUUUCAGGAAUGGAUUUGCGGAAAAUGUUUAUGAAGAGAAACCCACAGUGAAAAAAAUCCUUUCUUUGACAUUAAUGCAUUUGGAGUGAGAAAAACGCACCUUGACUUUAGUGACUUUAUUGAUUCCCAUAGCCAACGUUUUAGUUAAAGUUCGGCUUUUCGCUCUUCUACGCAUGUGCAGCCGCACGGACAAAGAGGAGGACAGAAGAGGAUUGCUCCAUCGUGCUCAUUGGAAGAACCCCGUGCCGGUGCAGUUUUCUGCUGAGAGGAGCACCGGCCAGGGGGUUUAGGUAGGUAAAUACAAUCACUUGGGGGUGCCUAACAUUUGGCACCCCCAAGUGCAAGAAGACUUUCCUUCUCCUUUAAGUACUGUAGAUGAUAGAAAACUGAUCAGAAAAGUCUAUAAACUUUUAAAUGGUUUAUUAUAGGGUUGAGAAAUGUUACUAAUACUUAUAUAAAACUCAUAAAAACAUGUCUUUGCAUCAGAUGUUUACAGCUGCAAACCCUAAGUCAGCCCUAAGCAAGUUCUGGAUUUGAUAUGAUGAAUGGGAAUAGGAAAUUUCAUAGACACUCUGCAAUGCAAGAUCUUAUUGUUCCUAUUGAAUAUUCAUUUUUAAAUAUGUAUUUCUCAAAUGUAUUUUGGCCUGGGGGUUGUUAUGGGUAUGUUUUGCAAAGUUCUCAUCCGAUAUUAAGUCUCUGUCCUUACUUUUAUUCUGAUUUCGUUGAGAAAGGGAACUUUUAACAUUACUGAAGCUUUCUCCAUGUUAUCUAUGAGCAAAAGCAUUGUAAAAUAUUCCCUUUACAUUUCUUAUUCUUCUUACUCUUACAUUGAAUUUUAAGGAAUUAAGACUAAAGCAUGAUCUCCCAGAAGAGGAGAUUUGCAGAAGCACAUUAAAAUGGCUAUUAGGUGGCAUCAAGAUUCCUCUGUUGUGUUAUUAAGUAAAACUAAAAAUUGCAGAAAUCCCAUCCAUGUGUGCAGCCUUCCUCCCAGGCAUGAACUCAAAGGCCUGGGGAAAUAUUUGGAAGCAAUAUUCAUCAAUCCUAAUUAUUCUCAUUGCAGAGACGCUGAAAUAUCUAGUUCUAGUAAUUAGCAUUUGGUAACUUUGGAGAAAAAGAGCUUUCUUUCCAGCCUGCUCUUAAUUGGUUCUAAACAAUUCUGGAAUCUGUCUUGGAAUCCAAAUAUGGUCAUGCGAGAGCCAUACAGACUUUAAUCAGAUUCUCAGAAUACCAGCGCAUCUUGUCUCUGGAGCCAAGCAGAUGAAUAUGCUUGAAAAUAAAUGUGUUUGACUUGACUUGGCAAAAAAACAAAAUUGUACAGAGAGAAUUCUUAAGGAGUCAGUAGCUGGUAAUUUGCCACACAGUCUCAGCUACUGGAUGAUAGAAUGUUAGCCUAAACUGUUAAUAAUAAGUACACGCUAGUUUAUAAUAAGUGCAAAAUAAUCAGACAUAUGCUUAUAAAUGCAUUUAUAAAGAUAACAUUGCUAUUACACAGGAUUCAAAUUCUCCAUAAAACUGUACCACUGCACCUCUAGUUUUCUAAAUAAGAUGACUAGUGAUAGAAACUG
Molecule: long non-coding RNA, 1711 nt
Organism: Xenopus laevis (African clawed frog)
Lineage: Eukaryota; Metazoa; Chordata; Amphibia; Anura; Pipidae
Exons: 2
Source: RefSeq, a predicted model, not a curated record